CAGGCCUAACACAUGCAAGUCGAACGGCAGCACGGGAGCAAUCCUGGUGGCGAGUGGCGAACGGGUGAGUAAUAUAUCGGAACGUGCCCAGUAGUGGGGGAUAGCCCGGCGAAAGCCGGAUUAAUACCGCAUACGACCUAUGGGUGAAAGCGGGGGAUCGCAAGACCUCGCGCUAUUGGAGCGGCCGAUAUCAGAUUAGCUUGUUGGUGGGGUAAGAGCCCACCAAGGCGACGAUCUGUAGCUGGUCUGAGAGGACGACCAGCCACACUGGGACUGAGACACGGCCCAGACUCCUACGGGAGGCAGCAGUGGGGAAUUUUGGACAAUGGGCGCAAGCCUGAUCCAGCCAUGCCGCGUGCGGGAAGAAGGCCUUCGGGUUGUAAACCGCUUUUGUCAGGGAAGAAACGCGCCGGGCUAAUACCUUGGCGUAAUGACGGUACCUGGAGAAUAAGCACCGGCUAACUACGUGCCAGCAGCCGCGGUAAU
This 486-nucleotide ribosomal RNA is filed under the name uncultured bacterium. RNAcentral's name for it is "bacterial SSU rRNA". It matches the Rfam family "Bacterial small subunit ribosomal RNA", at positions 43 to 524 of the family's 1533-position model. The record is from RNAcentral.